CAAUAAUACAUUUUCGGCCAUUGUCGAAGCGUUUGUUCGGUGCUAUUAAAUAAGAUUAAUGAAAGAGAAUCAAAACAAAGAGAUGACAGGAAGAAAUAAACAGAUGAAAAAAUUAAGUCGAUUGGAUAAAAGAAGAAAUAAUGAUGAUAGAUUUCCAUACAAAAGUAAAUCGGAUGAUGAU
Long non-coding RNA from Centruroides sculpturatus (bark scorpion), 181 nucleotides. RefSeq lists it as uncharacterized. The record is from RefSeq and is a predicted model, not a curated record. Lineage: Eukaryota; Metazoa; Arthropoda; Arachnida; Scorpiones; Buthidae. The transcript has 2 exons.